GAUAAGGUUAAGUGAAUAAGGGCGCACGGUGGAUGCCUUGGCACUAGGAGCCGAUGAAGGACGGGACUAACACCGAUAUGCUUUGGGGAGCUGUACGUAAGCUAUGAUCCAGAGAUUUCCGAAUGGGGGAACCCAGCAUCUUUAAUAGGAUGUUACGAUUGUGUGAAUACAUAGCACAUUCGAGGUAGACGCAGAGAACUGAAACAUCUAAGUACC
Molecule: ribosomal RNA, 216 nt
Filed under: Enterococcus faecium
Lineage: Bacteria; Bacillati; Bacillota; Bacilli; Lactobacillales; Enterococcaceae
Description: partial 23S ribosomal RNA
Rfam family: Bacterial large subunit ribosomal RNA
Source: RNAcentral